UGGCGGCGUGCUUAACACAUGCAAGUCGAACGGUGAAGGUGGAGCUUGCUCUGCUGGAUCAGUGGCGAACGGGUGAGUAACACGUGAGCAAUCUGCCCCGAACUCUGGGAUAACCACGGGAAACCGUGGCUAAUACUGGAUAUGUCGAGUGACCGCAUGGUCUGCUCGUGGAAAGAUUUUUCGGUUCGGGAUGAGCUCGCGGCCUAUCAGCUUGUUGGUGAGGUAAUGGCUCACCAAGGCGACGACGGGUAGCCGGCCUGAGAGGGUGACCGGCCACACUGGGACUGAGACACGGCCCAGACUCCUACGGGAGGCAGCAGUGGGGAAUAUUGCACAAUGGGCGCAAGCCUGAUGCAGCAACGCCGCGUGAGGGAUGACGGCCUUCGGGUUGUAAACCUCUUUUAGUAGGGAAGAAGCGAAAGUGACGGUACCUGCAGAAAAAGCACCGGCUAACUACGUGCCAGCAGCCGCGGUAAUACGUAGGGUGCAAGCGUUGUCCGGAAUUAUUGGGCGUAAAGAGCUCGUAGGCGGUUUGUCGCGUCUGCUGUGAAAUCCCGAGGCUCAACCUCGGGCCUGCAGUGGGUACGGGCAGACUAGAGUGCGGUAGGGGAGAAUGGAACUCCUGGUGUAGCGGUGGAAUGCGCAGAUAUCAGGAAGAACACCGAUGGCGAAGGCAGUUCUCUGGGCCGUAACUGACGCUGAGGAGCGAAAGCGUGGGGAGCGAACAGGAUUAGAUACCCUGGUAGUCCACGCCGUAAACGUUGGGCGCUAGAUGUGGGGACCAUUCCACGGUUUCCGUGUCGCAGCUAACGCA
RNAcentral lists this ribosomal RNA (814 nucleotides) under Microbacteriaceae bacterium. RNAcentral's name for it is "bacterial SSU rRNA". It matches the Rfam family "Bacterial small subunit ribosomal RNA", at positions 37 to 859 of the family's 1533-position model. The record is from RNAcentral. Lineage: Bacteria; Bacillati; Actinomycetota; Actinomycetes; Micrococcales; Microbacteriaceae.